AGGGUUUGAUUAUGGCUCAGGAUGAACGCUGGCGGCAUGCUUUACACAUGCAAGUUGAACGAAUUAAAGUUUUCGAAUUUUAGUUAAGUAGCGAACGGGUGAGUAAAACGUAAGAAUCUAUUUUUAGGUGAGGAAUAACUAUGGAAACGUUAGCUAAUACCUUAUAAACUGAGAAGUGAAAAACUAAAAAUUGCCUAAAAGUGAGCUUGCGCCUGAUUAGCUUGUUGGUAAGAUAAUCGCUUACCAAAGCGACGAUCACCGUAGUGGUGAUCUAAGAGGAUAAUCAACCACACUGGGACUGAGAUACGGCCCUGACCUCUACCGGGGACAGCAGUGAGGAAUUUUCCGCAAUGGGCGAAAGCCUGACGGAGCAAUGCCGCCUGGAAGAAUGAAGGCCUAUGGGUCGUAAACUUCUUUUCUUAAUGGAAGAGAUUAAGACCGGUAAUUAAGGAAUAAGGCAUCGGCUAACUUCCGUGCCAGCAGCCGGCGGUAAUACGGAGGAUUGCGAAGCGUUAUCCGGAAUUAUUGAGCCGUAAAGGGUUUGUAGGCUACUUUUUUAAGUCUACUGUUAAAGGAAUAAGACUUAACCUUUAGAAAAGCAGUAUAAAACUAAAAGGAUAGAGUUCAGUAGGGGUAGGGGGAAUUCUCGGUGUAGUAGUGAAAUGCGUAGAUAUCGAGAGGAACACCAAUAGCGAAAGCACUCUACUAGGCUGUAACUGACGCCAAGAAACGAAAGCUAGGAGAGCCAAUGGGAUUAGAUACCCCAGUAGUCCCUAGCUGUAAACGAUGGAUACUAAGUAUUGGAUAAUAAAAAAUUCAGUGCUGUAGCUAGCGCGUUAAGUAUCCCGCCUGGGGAGUAUGCCCGCAAGGGUGAAACUUCAAAGGAAUUGACGGGGGGCCCGCACAAGCGGGUGGAGCAUGUGGUUUAAUUCGGUGCAACGCGAAAAAACUUACCAGGAUUUGACAUCCCAUAUUUUUUUUCUAGAAAUAGAAAAAUUGACCUGGAGACAGGUGGGGGCAUGGCCGUUCGUCAGCUCCUGUCGCCGAGAAGUUGGGUUAAGUCCCGUAACGAGCGCAACCCUUGUCUUUAGUUCGAUAGUCUAAAGAAACUGCCGAUAAUAAAUCGGAGGAAGGUGAGGAUGACGUCAAGUCAGCAUGCCCCUUAUAUUCUGGGCGACACACGUGCUACAAUGGUUAAGACAAUGGGAUGCAAACUUGUAAAAGGAGGCUAACCUCAAAAACUUAAUCGAAGUUCGGAUUGUCGACUGAAACUCGUCGACAUGAAGCUGGAAUCGCUAGUAAUCGCCGGUCAGCCACACGGCGGUGAAUACGUUCUCGGGCCUUGUACACACCGCCCGUCACGUUAGGGAAGCUGAUUACGCCCGAAGUCAUUAAUUUAACCUUUUGGAGAAAAAUGCCGAAGGCAGAGUGAGUAACUAGGACGAAGUCGUAACAAGGUAGCC
RNAcentral lists this ribosomal RNA (1463 nucleotides) under uncultured cyanobacterium. Its description in RNAcentral is "partial 16S ribosomal RNA". It matches the Rfam family "Bacterial small subunit ribosomal RNA". The record is from RNAcentral. Lineage: Bacteria; Bacillati; Cyanobacteriota.